Molecule: RNA transcript, 6524 nt
Organism: Motacilla alba alba
Lineage: Eukaryota; Metazoa; Chordata; Aves; Passeriformes; Motacillidae
Exons: 10
Source: RefSeq, a predicted model, not a curated record
GCGAUUGGGAAAACAUUAGAAAACUGGGAGGUGAUGGAGGACUAGCAAGAGUGUGAAAUGUCAGUUAUGACAUAGAGAGAAUCCAAGUACAUCAGAGUCUUGUCAGCUGGGUGGUUUCUCUUUAAUUUCUGUUUCUGCAUCACACUCAUUGCUGGAGUAUCUGAGCACCUUCAGUAAAAACAGCCAUGGUGUCUUUGCUCUCUCAGCUUCUCCUCCCAGGAGAGCCAGUGUUUUUUGGAGGGCUUGUUUUAGUAGAAUCUUUGUGUUGUUUGUGUGUGUUGUAGAAUAUUUGUCGCAACAGGAUGGACUGAGAGAGGUGUCUUGUACCUGAAGUGAAAAAUAGCAGGUUAGGGAGGAGACUGCAUUUCUCAGUAGCAGCUGCUCCUGGACUAGGCCUAGUUAGACUGGAAUUGCUGGAGAUUUAACAAAAUAAGGACAGGAAUUCCUCCUCCCUUGCAUAGCUGUUGAUGUUAUGUCUAGCUGAUUUGUGCCUGCUUUCUCUCCACUUUGGUGAUAAAAGACUGUUUUCAAACAUGACCAUCUGACUCCAGCUGCACAGACCAAUGUGGUUUUGUUCCAGUCCCACUCUAACAACCAGAUUUUGUGAGAUGUCCUGUUCCUAAUGACAAGGGAACUAAAUGCCCAAACAUCUUUAAAAUCUGCAUUGACUUUGUUCCAUUUUUAUCCAGUUUAUCCCUGUGCUUUUGCAUCACUUAGGUAAAUACUGUAGUAUGAAAAGAGGAAAUAUCCACGUGGAGGAGGCUGGAAAACCUGAAGAGGAGUGCAAUGAGACAGCUUAAAUAGUGUGAUUUGAUUAUCCACAGUCAGCAUGAUUGCCUGAGAAAUACUGUCUCUACCAAAGAGAUUUUUUUUGUUUUGGCUUCUCAGAGGAAAUGGAAAGACUUUUGGUGGAUUGAUAUUUGGCUUAAAAUUAUAUUUACAAAUCUUGUGGAGUAAGUGGAUAUUAUAGAUGUAACAGAGGAGGAUCAAGCUUAUUCAGUGCUGAGGAGCAGGUUUCUAAUUUUAGGGAACCUCUUCCAGACCAGCAUCCAGAGUUUUAUGUUUAGAACAGUUCCUUUUCCUCUCAUCUUUAUGGGUGUCUUAAAGACUUGCCAAGGAAGGCUUGAGCUCCAGGAGUUGCUCAGAAAGUGCUUAAUUUCCCAUCUUGAGGGUAAUGACUCUUCCUAUUAUAUCAGAUCCUUUUGUCUGGUCACGACAGAACCAAUGCUGGGCUUGACAAUCAUCUUUCUGGAUCCUGGUUGCACUGCUCUGGAAGAGUUAAUGGCAAAGUAAGGACAAUUUUGGGAAACUAAGAAAAAGACAGAUGAUAUUUUGAGCUGGAACUAGCAAGUUACUAGCACUGACCAGUGAAGUGUGUUAGAGACAUGAAGACAUUCUUAGAUGUCAAAUAGCUUCACUUCUGUUUCUCAUAAUUAGUGAUUUUCUUUAACAAAGAGCAUUUUUUCUGGCAUUAAGCAACCACUUGGAAUUUCUGCUGUCCCUUACUCUUACACUGUUACUAAGUCUAACUUUUAAAUAUUUGGGAUAUAAUAUACAGCAUGUUACCCUCAUUUAAAAGGUUCAAGUACUGAUGCAGAAAGUCACUUGCCCUGCAAGUAUGCCUGCAAUAAAUACCUUGUUGAGGGAAAGAAUAGAUGGAGAAGAGGUCAUGCAUGGCUGAUGCUGACUGAAGCUAAGUGUGUCCCUGGUACAGUAAAGAUAUUGUUCAGUACUUAUCUUCCUGGUGAAAAUAUUGCUGUUGAAAUAGUACCAACAUAUCCAAGUGUGUUACUUGUCUCUCAUUCCAGCACCAGCUGCUCUGGUUUGUUCUACUUGGUCACAUGUUUUAAGUCAUCCACCUGUAUUCUGCACAGGUAUCAGCCCUCGCUGUGAUCACACUGCUGAUGCUUCUGACCUGAUCUGCGUGCAUUUCGCUAAUGUACCUCACUAGACAGUGCUUCUGGAGGAAGCUUUGCCCAAAGGCACUCCCAUACUCAUGGCUAGAUUGGGAAAUUGGGCCCAGCUGUGAGCAGGGUGACAGAGAAGGCUCACAAGCCUGGGAGAGGCCCUUGCAAGUUUUGCCUUGCACUUGAGAAGCUCCUUCCUGCCACCACAUUGCUCACCACGCUUAGUGGUUUAGUGCCACCAUUUGCACAGGCCUCCCCCUUCCCGGCAGCACUGGGGUGGUAAAUUUGUGCUCACACAGUGUCUCAGUCCAGAUCAGAGGUGUAGCUUGCUGGUAGGAUGCAGGUGGUUGGAGUGGGAGUGUGCAGCGCUCGCAGUCGUGCUGGGUGACAGCUAACCAAGGCGGCUUCCUCCUCCCACGCACCGGGCCCAGCAUGGGGCUUUCUUCCUGUUCUCGCCUGCUGACAAGAUGUGCAGCGGGCUCUCGGUCGGAGUGGGUGGGAUGAGGUCACGUCCUCUGCACCAUGUCAGAAUGGGAGUGAUGAGCAUCUCCCACCUCAGCACAUGAGGAGUCAGCUUCCAGAGAGAAGUUCCACAUGGGCUUAGAAAGCUGCAAGAGCCAACUUUAACUUGCAUCAGUUACAUCGCUCUGCAUGUUUAAUGCCACAUCUGAGUUUUUUGCAUAUGAGUGAAACUGCAGCUCCGGGGCGAUUCAGGGAGUUUUCUCUGCAGAGUAAUUUUGGUUCUUGUCCUGAUUUCUCUCCAGCCUUUCCACUGCUAUUACAGCUCUGGUAUCCUAUAGCAAGUAAGAACAUAACAUUACAACUGUUCACACGUGGGAGAUGGAGGAACUGCAUUAAGAGCCCAUCAGAUAGGAAAACUUGGUGUGAGAACCAUAUGGAAGGGAAGAAGUAUCCCAGACCCAAGAUGCAAGUUUAUGGAUUGCAAGACAGGAGGCCAAACAGCAAAGCAACAUCUAACAAAAUUUCAAAGGAGUUUGUCCAAAUGGUCAAAGAGCACUCCCAGAAGCUCCUCCAGGGGUCUCAGAUGGUUUAUUUUUGAAGAGCACUUUCUCACUCGCUUUGACAUGAGACAUGCAAAGAAACAGUCAAUACUGUUUUACUUAAAUGACAUGUUUCUGCAACUGGAGAAGUGAAAGGUUUGAAGUAAAUGAAGAGAAAUGGCUGCAAGUGCUGGCUGGUUGCUCUGCUGCUUACAGAACUGUCUGGACUUACAGAGAACUAAUUUAAACCGACAGAACACAUACUGCUGUGUUCUGCUUUUUAAACACUGACCUCAGGAGAAGCUCUGCAGCAUGAGAAGCUUAUUAUGGGACUGGACGCCUUGAGUCCCCUGGGAAAGCUCUUCUGCUCUUUGUCCUUUGGAAUACAGAGAAAACCAGACAGAGCCCCAAAACAGCUUUUUUUGCACCUGCCUUCUGCCUCUCCAUCUCUUCCAGCUGGUGAGUAUGCUCAGUUGUGGAAUGCUUUUCACUUUCUCUUAUUCAUGAAGAGAUGGCACAUCUCUUUUGUCACCAUCCCUGAAACAUUUCCUAUUCUUUGUCUUGGAUGCCAUUAAAAAGCCAGCUAUUAAGGAUGGUUACUGUGUUGGAACUUAGUCUUUGUUCACUGAAACUUCUGUAAAAAUUUAGGAUGGGUUUCUUAAGAACUGAAGAGUAAUAACAACCUAUAAAUGAAUUUGAAUCUGACAGCAAAGUGGUGAAAAUAGUGCAUACUUGAUAUCUUUUCUGAAAAUUUUGAAACAUGCAAUAGCUAUCAUUAUAUCUCUUCAGAGUAAACAGGUGCUGUACGUGGACAGGGCAGCUGGACUACAGAGGUUUCUCUUGCAUAGUUCAGGCAUCUGAAAAGAAGUCAUCCUAGUUCAGUUUCACCACUAUUGACCACUCUUUUUAGUCAAACACUGCAAUCUGGAGGGAUGCUUCACCUCAGCUAUCUUAAAACCUAUCCCAGAUGAAGAGGAAGAAAUGUCUCCAGAAAUGGAACUGAGGGACAAUUUGUCAAUGCAUGUUUGGGCUCUAAAGCCGGGUGUCAUGAAGUGGUUUGAUGAAUGGGUAUGACAAGGUAGGAAAACUAGCAGCAAAAGAAGUGAGGGCAGGCAAGGCUUUGUUGUAACUGAGCCUGUCUUCGGCUGACAGGAGGUUGAAUUUUAAUUCCACUUUUGGCCUACUGUCUAUUUGAGACAGGGUCAUUUUCCAUUAUUAUCUCCUUUUUAGCCCUCUUCUUCCUCCAUGCACAGUCUGUUUAAGUAUCGAUCAUUUAUUUAUUCAGUGUGAGAGACAUUCCCUCUUUUCUCCUAGUGAAGACUGAAUCCUGGUGUCUUACUAAUAGUAGAAAAUGUGAGCCAUCUGGUUAAGGUGUCCUGGUAAAAGUGCUCUUAAGUCAUUACUGUUUCAAUUGCUUUAAUGAAUAUCAGUGGAAGAGGAUGAAAAGCCACUUUCAUGUUUCUUAGAGCAAUGCUCUGACCACUGAACUAAACUGCGAUUUACUCACUGGAUUGAUAAAUAACCAAUAAAUGUGAGACAUCACCAGAAACAGGUUGAGGAGGUUAGUGUUUAGAUGGUUUGGCAGUCUCUUGUUAAGGCACUCACUAGAAAAAAUGAAAUAUUUUAACAUAAUAUUCAGAUCGUGUUCUGACUGGUUCAGAACAGUGCCUGAGGCUAAGGUAGUCUACAGGCUCAGUAGCCACUAGGCUACUGGGCUAUUUUCUUGUCAACUCAAGGAAUAUUAAAAUAACAGUAGAGAGUGUCUGAAUAAUCUAAAUGCCUAGUUCAAUGUCUUCGGGCAUUCUUUUUGGAGAAAAGUGGUUUGGAUUAAAAUUGUGUUUAGUGAAGGACAGAAUGGAACCAGUCUUAUGUGUCUGGGUAGGGCUGUAAUAAUUGGAAUAGAGUGAGUAACCAGAGUGAUAGUUAGCAACAUUAUCAGCAUCUAGCUCUCAAAUGCUAAUUGCACUUGUUCAGGGUAAAUCCAGAAAUAAUUUCAGGAUUCCCGAAAUUAUACUUCUUGGCAAACACUGUGUGUUAUUUCACCUGAUCUUGAUUUGUCAUAUAAUCAGCCCACAGCACCUAUCGAGUUGCUCGUAAUGGCUGCUUUAGUAGGCAAUAUGUGAAAAUACAGGAAACAAAAAUUUGGAAACUAUGUACCCUAAAUUGCAUCCUUGGCUCUCUUGGCUUCAUUGGAACAUUCUGAAUUAUCUAAGACCUUCAUUCCUUUAAUUUCUAUUUUUCUUCUCUAAUGAAUCUUUAUCAAAUAAUCUCAGCCAUUUUGGCAGUAUUCUCCACAGUAAAAGUUGUUAAUUAGCAAAUUAAAAGGCACCAUCUCAAUUUUAAAUUUUUUUUCAAAAAAAAAAUGCAGUUAAAAUAACUGUUAUUUUGGAGCCCUUCCCCCUCAUCUGAGUGCAAGUGUCAGAAAGGAAAUCUGUUUAAUCUUCACUCUUAUACUUUCCUGAUUCACCUGGCUGCUCUUGGGAAUUUAGGGGGGAGCAGCUCAGCAUGGUAGAUGAAAAUUACAAACUAAGUUUUAUGGAAUGCUUUAGGAUGAAUGAGACUCCACUGUUAUUGUCCCUCACUAUUGCCUCCCCUCAGCUCCUGUCUGCCAUAUGAAGAAAAGUGCAAGCAAAGUAUUUGUGCUAGAAUAUAGAUUUAAUAACAACGUAACUGUUAUUUCUGACCUUAGUGUGAAAGUUAGUUGAAUGAUAUUCAGGCCAGAUCUACAAUCAACAGUAUAUCCUUUGUUAUCAGCAAUAUUGCACUCUCUAUAAUGAAAGAAAAUAUCUCCAUAACAAGCAAAAAAAAAUCCCAGCAGGCCAACCAACAAAAUAAAACUUGAGAGCCUUGAGUCUAGGAAGCCUCAUAAAUUGUUUUCCAUGUAUUUUAUUUUUUUAUUUAGAAAAGUUAGGACAAUAGUUUCUCUUCAGAAAAUGUUUGCUAUCAAAUAAUAUGAACUACUCAGUUAUUUCCUUGCUGAAACCACAAGUUAUGAUGUGCAAUAUGAUUUUGCUGGUCCUUUUAGAUGAUUGCAGGUUACAAGCUAAGAAUAGUGCACUCCCUUGUAAAAGAUACUUUAGCUUCAAUAUGAGAUGACAGCAAUGCUGUGCUUGGUUGAAAUAUGCAGGAUGUUCCCAUGUAUGGAGCUAAGUUAUUCUUUUAACAGGUAAAAGUGAAUUCUGUGGUAUAAACAAAAAAACCCAUGGGCUUCACAGAGGUGAUACACCAUAAGCUAAGAGGCCGGUGAGCCUGGCCCUCAGCUGGCAUUAAAAAGGAAAGAAUUACUGCCUCAAAUCAGCAUAAAGAGCUGAAGAGAGGCAGAGGCAGAUUAGAAGAGUGUGGAAAUGGGAAUUGCCUUACUGCUUUGACAGUAAUUUACCUGCACUGCGGCUAUCUUAUGAAAAUGUCAGCACCUCAUGUGAAUGAGAAUGCAUGUCUCUAGAAGGGCAAAGCACAAAGUCUGCUUGAGGCAGGAGUGGGAAAAUCCGUGAGCAGCCUAUAUCUUACCACAUGAAUUUCAGCUGAAAAGCUUUCUGCUCCAGAAGAAACGCCUUGUUUUAGAACACAUUAUUUUCUUGAGUCUCUACCUGAGUGGUUGUGGAGGUGACAUAAACUU